CAGGAACCUUCCACAGGAGGGCCCUCUAAGAGCCUGUGCUGAAUUUAUUUGGUUGGCAAAGAACAACUUUCUGAGCUACCUGUGUGAUAACUCCUCAGCACAGCUCCAUGUCUC
Molecule: long non-coding RNA, 114 nt
Filed under: Castor canadensis (American beaver)
Lineage: Eukaryota; Metazoa; Chordata; Mammalia; Rodentia; Castoridae
Description: SPRY4-IT1 conserved region 2 (ENSCCNG00000002181.1)
Rfam family: SPRY4-IT1 conserved region 2
Source: RNAcentral